GCAAAUCCAGAAAAUAAAUACCAGCUAUUGGGGUAUUUGUUAGGGUUUGGACCUGACACAUUGCCCUAAAAUCUCAGGUAGUAGGAAACACAGUCAUGUUCAGAAAUGAGAAGAUCACAUUAUGAGCUCUCCAACCUCAUUAUUGGAAUAAUGUACCUGAUGGAUUAAUCCAUUGGUAAUUGAACAGACUGUUGGUAACUGAGAUGAAAUAGACCACUGGGGGUCUGAUCUUUGGGAUUUCAUCUUGUUCCCAGAUCCUUGACUGUUCUCUUUCUGAUUCCCAGCUCCCAAUACAUAAGCACCUUUUCUCCACCAUUCCCUUCCGCCAUUUUGUUUUUCAACGAAACCAGCCAUCCAUGGACUGAGACCACUGAAACUGGAGCCAAAAUGAACAGUUCCUCUCUAAAUUUAUUUUGGUCACUAUGUUGAAACACUGCCUAACACAGUAUCUCCGAAGUCCAUCAAGUUCACACAAAAGAUGAAUCCUCACAAGGCUGAAGAAACCUUGUGACAUUAUUGGACAGCAUUGCAAUGACAACAGGACUCUUCUAUAUCCCUGCGUUCUUGAAAGUCCUGUGCUAUUUCUUGGUGACAUGUUGAAUUCUAUCUCACUUGACUGCAGGUUUAUCCUCAUCCUUUUCGGUGUAUUAAAUCAUGAAGGAAAUUCUCUUCCGUUUUCAAUAUAGCCACAACUGUCAAGAUACAGCAGAAAUUUUUUAAAAAUUAUUUUUUACAAAUAAGCUAUUUGUAAUGGAG
Molecule: long non-coding RNA, 756 nt
Filed under: Marmota monax (woodchuck)
Lineage: Eukaryota; Metazoa; Chordata; Mammalia; Rodentia; Sciuridae
Source: RNAcentral